CUGCACCGCUAAAAUACAAAAGAAAUCGUGUUUUGUUUAUGGUAUUGAUAUGGAGUUUCAGGCAGAUCUGGUCGAUAUGUCUGCAUACGCCAAGGAAAAAGAAUGAUAAGGUGAAAAAAGUGACAUUUUAUGUCUAGAAAGUGACUUUUCAUCAAAAGUGCAAUAACAAAACUAGUUCCCAUUCAUCCUGUGUCCCCUUACACACUUGUGCUCUUUAUCCGCUCAAAACGCUAUACAGCGAACGAGAAGGCGCUAGGAGCAAAGGAAAGUGGUUUUUCUAACAAACUCAUAUAAUCAGUUGCCCGACCUAGUCCAAUUUGAUUGUUUUCACAUAUUUAGACAUAAUAUAGUACUAUGAAAUGUUUCUGACCCAAAAAAUUACGAAAUAUGAUUGUUUACAUUAAAAUGCAAAAGUUGAUGAAAAAGUAUGAUAAGGUGAAAAAAGUGACAUUUUAUGUCUAGAAAGUCACUUUUCAUCAAAAGUACAAUAACAAAACUAGUUCCCAUUCAUUCUGUGUCCCCUUACACACUUGUGCUCUUUAUGCUCUGAAAACGCUAUAGAGCGAACGAGAAGGCGCUAGGAGCAAAGGAAAGUGGUUUUUCUAACAAACUCAUAUAAUC
Molecule: long non-coding RNA, 621 nt
Organism: Ictalurus punctatus (channel catfish)
Lineage: Eukaryota; Metazoa; Chordata; Actinopteri; Siluriformes; Ictaluridae
Source: Ensembl